RNAcentral lists this long non-coding RNA (203 nucleotides) under Nicotiana benthamiana. RNAcentral describes it as "long non-coding RNA (NBEN_LNC034717)". The record is from RNAcentral. Lineage: Eukaryota; Viridiplantae; Streptophyta; Magnoliopsida; Solanales; Solanaceae.
AUAAGAAUACUCAUCUCCCUAUUCUCUCUAUAUUGUUCUUGUUCUCGUAUUAUUGUUCUUGUUAUUAUAUUAUUUCAUAACACGUUAUCAGCACGAGUCUUUAACCAAUUGAAUUUGAUCUCUUCCUUCAAAUUCUAUUACUUCUCUUGUUGAUUGCAGCUAUCGGAGCAAUGGCAGAUUCACAACCCUCCAUUGAAGCCAAA